Molecule: long non-coding RNA, 373 nt
Filed under: Lynx canadensis (Canada lynx)
Lineage: Eukaryota; Metazoa; Chordata; Mammalia; Carnivora; Felidae
Description: lncRNA (ENSLCNG00005008186.1)
Source: RNAcentral
CGGGGCCGCGCGGCGAGGCCUGAUUCCUGCAGCGCGGGCAGGCGGCGUCGCAAAGCGGAGCGAGCUCGAGGCGCCGGGACUCCUGCAGGUGAGAGUGAUUUCCCAGUGAUUGCUUUGGCCCUUACAACCAGAGAACAGGAUUCUUCCCUCCUUUUUGGCCACUAAAUGCCUGCGCACACCACACAUUCCUGCGAGGGAAGAAGGGCGGAGCUUCUUGGAUGAUGAUGGACAUUCCACUGGACAGGAUGAGGGCAGAGAGUGUGACAUCAACACCACAAAGGGAAGUUACCUAAUUGGUGGGGAGGAAAUGACACAGGCUUUGGAACCAGGAGUCCUGGAGUACAAUCAAAUUCUGCUAUUCACUCGUCCAUCA